This 253-nucleotide ribosomal RNA is filed under the name uncultured bacterium. Its description in RNAcentral is "partial 16S ribosomal RNA". It matches the Rfam family "Bacterial small subunit ribosomal RNA", at positions 524 to 776 of the family's 1533-position model. The record is from RNAcentral.
UCCGGAGGGUGCAAUCGUUGUUCGGAAUCAUUGGGCGUAAAGCGCGUGUAGGCGGCCGGGUAAGUCUGAUGUGAAAGCCCGGGGCUCAACCCCGGAAGUGCAUUGGAUACUGCCUGGCUAGAGGGCGAGAGAGGAAAGUGGAAUUCCUGGUGUAGGGGUGAAAUCCGUAGAUAUCAGGAGGAACAUCGGUGGCGAAGGCGACUUUCUGGCUCGUUACUGACGCUGAGACGCGAAAGCGUGGGGAGCAAACAGG